AUGAACGCUAGCGACAGGCCUAACACAUGCAAGUCAGGGGCAGCACAAGGAGCAAUCUGAGGUGGCGACCGGCGCACGGGUGAGUAACACGUAUGCAACCUGCCUGUAAGCGGGGAAUAACCCGUUGAAAGACGGACUAAUACCGCAUAAUACUAAAUUACUGCAUGGUAAUUUAUUUAACAUUUAUGGCUUACAGAUGGGCAUGCGCAUGAUUAGCUAGUUGGAGAGGUAACGGCUCCCCAAGGCAACGAUCAUUAGGGGUUCUGAGAGGAAGGUCCCCCACACUGGUACUGAGACACGGACCAGACUCCUACGGGAGGCAGCAGUGAGGAAUAUUGGUCAAUGGACGAGAGUCUGAACCAGCCAAGUCGCGUGCAGGAAGAAUGUCCUAUGGAUUGUAAACUGCUUUUGCAGGGGGAAUAAAGUGCAUCACGUGUGAUGUUUUGUAUGUACUCUGCGAAUAAGGAUCGGCUAACUCCGUGCCAGCAGCAGC
Molecule: ribosomal RNA, 493 nt
Filed under: uncultured bacterium
Lineage: Bacteria
Description: bacterial SSU rRNA
Rfam family: Bacterial small subunit ribosomal RNA
Source: RNAcentral